RNAcentral lists this ribosomal RNA (501 nucleotides) under uncultured bacterium. RNAcentral's name for it is "partial 16S ribosomal RNA". It matches the Rfam family "Bacterial small subunit ribosomal RNA", at positions 29 to 523 of the family's 1533-position model. The record is from RNAcentral.
AUUGAACGCUGGCGGCAUGCCUUACACAUGCAAGUCGAACGGCAGCACGGGUGCUUGCACCUGGUGGCGAGUGGCGAACGGGUGAGUAAUACAUCGGAACGUACCUUAUCGUGGGGGAUAACGCAGCGAAAGCUGUGCUAAUACCGCAUACGCCCUGAGGGGGAAAGCGGGGGAUCGAAAGACCUCGCGCGAUUAGAGCGGCCGAUGCCUGAUUAGCUUGUUGGUGGGGUAAAAGCCCACCAAGGCGACGAUCAGUAGCGGGUCUGAGAGGACGAUCAGCCGCACUGGGACUGAGACACGGCCCAGACUCCUACGGGAGGCAGCAGUGGGGAAUUUUGGAGAAUGGGGGCAACCCUGAUCCAGCAAUGCCGCGUGAGUGAAGAAGGCCUUCGGGUUGUAAAGCUCUUUUGUCAGGGAAGAAACACCGGCUCUAACACAGUCCGGGAAUGACGGUACCUGAAGAAUAAGCACCGGCUAACUACGUGCCAGCCGCCGCGGUAA